GACCAUGUAGCUCAGUUGGCAGAGCAUUGGGCUAGUAUUCCAAAGGUUGUAGGUUCGAUUCCCACCGUGGCCA
This 73-nucleotide transfer RNA is filed under the name Paramuricea clavata. It matches the Rfam family "tRNA". From Rfam's summary of the family: Transfer RNA (tRNA) molecules are approximately 80 nucleotides in length. Lineage: Eukaryota; Metazoa; Cnidaria; Anthozoa; Malacalcyonacea; Plexauridae. The record is from Rfam by way of RNAcentral.